AGUGAACGCUGGCGGUAGGCCUAACACAUGCAAGUCGAACGGCAGCACAGUAAGAGCUUGCUCUUACGGGUGGCGAGUGGCGGACGGGUGAGGAAUACAUCGGAAUCUACUUUUUCGUGGGGGAUAACGUAGGGAAACUUACGCUAAUACCGCAUACGACCUACGGGUGAAAGCAGGGGAUCUUCGGACCUUGCGCGAUUGAAUGGGCCGAUGUCGGAUUAGCUUGUUGGCGGGGUAAAGGCCCACCAAGGCGACGAUCCGUAGCUGGUCUGAGAGGAUGAUCAGCCACACUGGAACUGAGACACGGUCCAGACUCCUACGGGAGGCAGCAGUGGGGAAUAUUGGACAAUGGGCGCAAGCCUGAUCCAGCCAUACCGCGUGGGUGAAGAAGGCCUUCGGGUUGUAAAGCCCUUUUGUUGGGAAAGAAAAGCAGCAGGUUAAUACCCCGCUGUUCUGACGGUACCCAAAGAAUAAGCACCGGCUAACUUCGUG
Molecule: ribosomal RNA, 492 nt
Filed under: uncultured bacterium
Lineage: Bacteria
Description: partial 16S ribosomal RNA
Rfam family: Bacterial small subunit ribosomal RNA
Source: RNAcentral